RNAcentral lists this long non-coding RNA (305 nucleotides) under Elaeis guineensis (African oil palm). RNAcentral describes it as "long non-coding RNA (EGUI_LNC023343)". Lineage: Eukaryota; Viridiplantae; Streptophyta; Magnoliopsida; Arecales; Arecaceae. The record is from RNAcentral.
GCAGAUUAUAAAAAUUACACAAUGAUUUAGGCAACCAUCUAAUCUCGAUGCGGUUGACACCGAGGAAGUACAGGAGCUUCAUGUUGCUGAUCGAAUUUGGCAAACCCUCGAUAUCUGUACCACUCAAAUCUAAUAUCCUCAGGCAUUUUGGAAGCAAUAGAGCAGGUAUCUGCUUCCUCCAUUCUAGAGAACCGCUUUCCCAAUAUGGAUUGUGCAAAGUUAUGAAUGCAAUGAUUCAUCACAAACGUUUGGUGGCCCAGCAAUUCAUCAAAAUACUCACAACUUAUGUCUUCUAUAGGAGGGAG